GCUCGCGUGAUGCAACUCGGCAGACAUACGAAGCUCAAACCUUCGUUCAUGCAGGUUCGAAUCCUGCCGCGAGUACCA
RNAcentral lists this transfer RNA (78 nucleotides) under Acidobacteriota bacterium. Its description in RNAcentral is "Acidobacteria bacterium (soil metagenome) tRNA-Leu". It matches the Rfam family "tRNA". From Rfam's summary of the family: Transfer RNA (tRNA) molecules are approximately 80 nucleotides in length. Their secondary structure includes four short double-helical elements and three loops (D, anti-codon, and T loops). The record is from RNAcentral. Lineage: Bacteria; Pseudomonadati; Acidobacteriota.